CAAGGGUGAAGUUCCUGGGUGGGGAUGUUGUCCUUCCAUCCACUAAGAUAUGCUGACCCAAUACUAUGCACGUUCUAGACGAUAACUAAGUGAGAGUCCCCAGAAGGGCGAAAACGUGCAGGUGUUACCGAGACACAGAACUCCAAGGCUGCAGAGACCUGAAUUCUGCUAGUCCUUGGUCUCUCCCUGACAUAACUGAAUAGGUCCCAAGCCGUUUCACUACCUGUCAUCCACUACUACAAGCUGACUGACAUCAGUUAAAACGCAACCAGGCUCUGGCGGUCGAGGGGUGGCACCAAGCAGGAUGUGGGGGAGCAGAAAGCGAGUGCUUGCCCUAGUUCGGAAGUGCCUUCCCUCUUCCCGGCCCUGAGCACUGUGCACUGUGAGCCCCUUCCUGACCCCCGAGUGUCCACUCAGAACAAAAGACCUAUCUGCACACUUUGAAGCGCUCAGUUCACUCGUAUCUCUUUCCAACCCAGCCUCAAUGCUAUUCCAAGUGAGAAUCACAUUAGGGCGUUCUGGCUUCUGCAAAAGCCAAAGGCUGGGCUCGUCCGGGAUUUGAACCCGGGACCUCUCGCACCCGAAGCGAGAAUCAUACCCCUAGACCAACGAGCCGACGCGCAAAACCGACCGUGGACGACUUUACAGGUCGUCCCAGGCUUUCUGCGGUCCCAGGGCUGUGAUUCUCGGUGCCCUGAUCUUAGUGCGCACCCGGGGACCACCAGCCCCGACGCAGAACACAGUGGAGCAGGGGUCUGGGAUUCUCUCUCUGCUCUUGACCGCGAGCUUCGACUCCUCCCAGGAAAUAACGUCGGGGAAGUGGGAGGGAGUGGUCUCGGCCUCGCCCACGAGCAGCCUUCCAGGACUGCCUCGAGCACCAGAGAAACCUGCUUCCUAGGAUCACUGUCCAGGAGACUGCUCAGCGAGAACACCAAAAAACAGAAUUGUGAUUGACUUCACACUGGUGGCCCUGCCCCAUCUUCCCGGGAUGCUCUUCCAUUCUCUCGCCCGUCUGGAACAGCUUUCUCUCAGGUAAGAGCAGACGCGGAAGCUACCCUGAGCUCGGCGGAGCACCCUUCCAAGCCCUGACCUGAGCGGGCAGUUUUGUUUUGAAAAGGAGUGGGUUCGGUGUCGUUCGUGAUUUGGGAAGGUAACUAGUUCCAGGUACAAACUCCCGGAUAACAGCAGGUAUGCUGCUGCUGCUGCUGCUAAGUCACGUCAGUCGUGUCCGACUCUGUGUGACCCCAUAGACGGCAGCCCACCAUGCUCCCCCGUCCCUGGGAUUCUCCAGGCAAGAAAACUGGAGUAGGUUGCCAUUUCCUUCU
RNAcentral lists this transfer RNA (1325 nucleotides) under Cervus hanglu yarkandensis (Yarkand deer). Its description in RNAcentral is "lncRNA (ENSCHYG00000016330.1)". The record is from RNAcentral. Lineage: Eukaryota; Metazoa; Chordata; Mammalia; Artiodactyla; Cervidae.